UACGUAGGGUGCAAGCGUUGUCCGGAAUUAUUGGGCGUAAAGAGCUCGUAGGCGGUUUGUUGCGUCGGCUGUGAAAUCCCGAGGCUCAAUCUCGGGUCUGCAGUCGAUACGAGCAAACUAGAGUGUUGCAGGGGAGAGUGGAAUUCCUGGUGUAGCGGUGAAAUGCGCAGAUAUCAGGAAGAACACCCGUGGCUAAGGCGGCUCUCUAGUACGGUACUGACGCUGAGACGCGAAAGCGUGGGGAGCGAACAGG
RNAcentral lists this ribosomal RNA (253 nucleotides) under uncultured bacterium. RNAcentral's name for it is "partial 16S ribosomal RNA". It matches the Rfam family "Bacterial small subunit ribosomal RNA", at positions 524 to 776 of the family's 1533-position model. The record is from RNAcentral.